RNAcentral lists this transfer RNA (69 nucleotides) under Caccobius nigritulus. RNAcentral's name for it is "tRNA-Ser". The record is from RNAcentral. Lineage: Eukaryota; Metazoa; Arthropoda; Insecta; Coleoptera; Scarabaeidae.
AAUUAAUGAACUUGUUAAAGUAUAUAUUUUGAAAAUAUAAAAAAGAAGUUAAAAAUCUUCUAUUAAUUU